GCAGAAGCCACAGCUGUUUCCACCUGUUUAAUCAGUUGAGCUUGGCUUUCAGUAGACUCAGGUGUGGCUUCUGCUUGGUUGGAAUGAAAACCUGUACACACACUGGUCCUUUGUGGAUCUGAUUGGACACCCCUGAUCUAGCUAGUCUAGCUCACUCAUCUAGCUAUUGGCUUAUCUGUGCAUAUUUCCACAGGUUGAAUUUUGAGCAGUGAAGUACCAAUAUCUCCACAGGUUUUGGCUAACAUAAUUUGCAUAUCAUUAUCACUCUGUUUCCUUUGGAGCAUUUAAAACUGAAAAUACCUGAAAAAUUCCAUUGUCUCAGACAGUGCUCCAGGGUUAAAUUAGGUGUUUUUUUUGUUGUUGUUUUUUUUUAAAACUCUGUAACAGUGAUCGCAAAAAUAUGUAGUGAUGUUGAAUAUUUUAUUGGUUAAAGUAAUAGUACUAGUAGGGUUGUCAAGUCGGGUUUUUGCAAGCUCUGUACUAAUAUAUUUCUGUGGAGUGCAGCCCUCUUUGCUUCAGUCACAGACUAUAUUUUUGGAUCAGCUAAUUGAGUGGACAACAGGUUUCUUUUCAAGAGAGUCCCUUCUCCAAAUGACAGGGUUCUGAAGGAUUUGGGAACUGGUCAUGCAGAGAGAUCAGGGGAUUGGGAAUGUAUUUUCUGGCCUUGAUCCACAUUAUACUUGAACUUGCCCUGAAAGGCACAAGGUACAGCUUCCAGUCAUGUUAUGCGGUCACAGGGGAACCUGGAGCCUAUCCCAGGAAGCAUCGGGCACAAGGCGGGGUGCACCCUGGACACGGUGCCAGUCCAUCGCAGGGCACAAAUUUGUGUAAUUUCAUUCUGAAAUGCAAACUUUUUAAGAAAACUUGAGAACUUCCACAGAUACUGUCAUAAAAAAAAAGAGGUCGUUAGAAAUGAUAUAAUUUUGUAUCAUCCCUUUGUGCUAUUGUAGCUGUUUCAGUAGCUAGAUAAUAGCAAACUGAUCUAUAUAAAUCAGAAGAGCUGACAGUGCACAGAGAACCUUAAAAAAUAAAUAAAAAUAUAUAUCUUUACG
Long non-coding RNA from Ictalurus punctatus (channel catfish), 1052 nucleotides. Lineage: Eukaryota; Metazoa; Chordata; Actinopteri; Siluriformes; Ictaluridae. The record is from Ensembl.